UACGGGGGGAGCAAGCGUUGUUCGGAUUUACUGGGCGUAAAGAGCUCGUAGGUGGUUUGUCGCGUUGUUCGUGAAAACUUUACAGCUCAACUGUGGGCGUGCGGGCGAUACGGGCAGACUUGAGUACUGCAGGGGAGGACUGGAAUUCCUGGUGUAGCGGUGGAAUGCGCAGAUAUCAGGAGGAACACCGGUGGCGAAGGCGGGUCUCUGGGCCGGAUACUGACGCUGAGGAGCGAAAGCGUGGGGAGCAAACAGGG
This 257-nucleotide ribosomal RNA is filed under the name uncultured bacterium. RNAcentral describes it as "partial 16S ribosomal RNA". It matches the Rfam family "Bacterial small subunit ribosomal RNA", at positions 524 to 777 of the family's 1533-position model. The record is from RNAcentral.